AAGCGUGCAUCGGCGGGUGGUGCAGUAUCCUAGUCGGGCGCGCUGCAUCUGAAGACGGGCCUAAAAAUCCGUCGCGGGCACAGCGAUGAAGUCCCUGGUGGUGGCCUUGGACGCCCAGUCCGGGGUUGCGGCUGGGGGUUAAGGAGGCGGGGCAGCCUGCAAUGGCAUGUGGGCGAUGACCCUGGCUCCGCGGAGACCCAAGACUGUGGGGAGCUGACCGCUUGUGCGGUCGGGGAACUACGGCUUGGGUGACGAACCUGCAUCCCGGUGGGACGUGCGUGUGGUACUGAACGCUGGGUGCAGCGUAGCCUGCCUUGAGCGGGUGAAGCGGGAGAGCGGGUUCAGGCGGGUCCCCGAAGGCCAAGGGGAGCCGAACCGGUGCCGCUUGAAACUUCCCCCGCAAGAGAGGCUAGGAUGCAGCGUGACCGUAGGGGAAAACCUCUAGGCUGUUCCGCCAGGAGGUACACCGAGGAUUGCGGUGUGGUCUGAGUGGUAAUCCAGCCCUGCUCGUGGUGACACGGCAGAGCGGCCGCAAAGGGGAAACCGCCACGGCGGCGACGCUGCGGAGGGCCGUUGGGAAAACCUGCUGGACCUAAGCCACAAUGUUUACUCGGUGUGCUGCCACCCGUCGAGCCUUUUCG
This 641-nucleotide small RNA is filed under the name Limnochorda pilosa. Lineage: Bacteria; Bacillati; Bacillota; Limnochordia; Limnochordales; Limnochordaceae. The record is from RNAcentral.